Molecule: unclassified non-coding RNA, 290 nt
Filed under: fungal sp.
Lineage: Eukaryota; Fungi
Description: partial internal transcribed spacer region
Rfam family: Eukaryotic small subunit ribosomal RNA (bases 1-46)
Source: RNAcentral
AAGUCGUAACAAGGUUUCCGUAGGUGAACCUGCGGAAGGAUCAUUAAAAGAUUUUGUUUUUUGGGGUAUUCCUGAAAAAUAAUUCACCUUUUGUGCAUUGUUAUUAAGAUAUACUUUGGUUAGAGCUUUGAUUUCAUUUUUUGAAGUCAACUUCUUGCUGACUCUAUCCUUUCUGAGGACAGUUGGCUAUGAAGCGGCCUACCAAGGUUUUUUAUCAAACACAUUUAAUUUAUCUGACCUAAACUAUUACAAUAAAAUCAUAACUUUCAACAACGGAUCUCUUGGCUCUC